Molecule: long non-coding RNA, 4979 nt
Filed under: Homo sapiens (human)
Lineage: Eukaryota; Metazoa; Chordata; Mammalia; Primates; Hominidae
Description: HSALNT0296509
Source: RNAcentral
AUUACAGGCACCCACCACCACACCUGGCUAAUUUUUGUGUUUUUAGUAGAGAUGGGGUUUUUCUGUGUUGGCCAGGCUGAUCUUGAACUCCUGACCUCUCGUGAUCCACCCGCUUUGGCCUCCCAAAGUGCUGGGAUUAUAGGCAUGAGCCACCGCACCUGGCUGUUGAGCAACUUCUUAUUACAGCAGUAAUGAAAUCUUUUGAGGACACGAGGCCCUAUUUAGGAGUGGAUGAAACUUAAAACACACAUUCAGCCUGCUAGUAUUUAAAUCCCAUUUGGUUUUCAUUUCUCAGAAAAAGCAAAUAGUGAAAAGUUCAGAAUUACCACGUUUCUGUCUGCUAGAACACCUUCUAAAAAAGGCUUACAAGAUAAAGUCUUAUGUAACACAUAAAAAAAAUCCCUCUCUGAUUAUAUAUUGUGCCAAGCAACUUUUCUAAGAAAAGAAGGAAGGGCUGGGGUAUGUGGAGGAGGCUAAAGUUUUGAGUAUUUGUAUGGGUCCAUAUCCUCACCAGGACUUUGAGUAGAAUUUUGCUUAUAGACAUGACCUUAUGGAAAAGAAGAAUUUCCUCUUGUGGAUAACUCAGAAUCCAACUUUGAAUCUUACUGAUCUUUGUAUCAUAUUAUUGCUUCCUUAAGUAAACUUUCUGAUCUGGCUAUAUUGGAUAACUCAUGGAUCCCUCUCUGCACACACCAUGUUCAUUGCCUUUUCUGUGCCUUUCAUGGAUUGUUGGUCUCUCUUAACCUGGUGCUGGCACACUGCCAAUGACUGCAUAGGCCUAUGGAGUGCCAUUCGCAGACUUUAUUGGGAAAUGCACUCUCUAGGAGUUGUGUCACAGGUGGUCCUCUAUUUUGCUUGUCUGGGGUUAUCCUUCAAGGCUAAGUGUCAUCCCUGUGGGAGGUUUUCUUUGACCUACUAAGAUUUCCGUAGUCCACCCUCUUCUAAACGCUCGAGGCACUCGUCCAUUGAAUUGAUGGUGACAAGGUCUAUCUUGUUGUUGUAGUUAUAUAAUCUCUUAUUUUAAAAGUCUUAGGGCCAGAUAUAUUUUGGAAUGUGUACAUUUUUGGAUUUUGCUCCAUAAUACUCCUAGUGAGAUCUGGGGCAGCAAUCUGUCAAAUGCAAUAAAAUUUCUGCCGUGCAACAGAAGGUGAGACUUAGCUUCAUGUUGAUCCAAUUCACGGUAUUUAACCUUACGAUUUCAGAAGAGGUUCGGCUAUCAAAUGAGUUUUUGCCCAUUUGCUAUCAAAGGAUUACGGAAUUAUAUUAUGGCUUGCUUAAUCAAAUGAAAUGGAACCAUUUACAAGGAGUGAUUAUAUUCCAUAUUUGUCAUCCCAGUACUUAGCACAAACUACCAGAAUAGAUGCUCAAGCAUCAUUUAAUUGUUACUAGGGAGAUGGUAGAAAGCCAUUUUAUGAUUUACUCUAAGCUGUCCACAUUUCCCUGAGCAAAUGUAAAUAGGGAAAAUUAAAUUCUUGAAAAAUAUUAACUCUUGAUUACCCCCUACUGGGAAAUAAAAAUUAAUGACCUUAUAUCUCAUGGAGUGCUUUCAGGGUUACAAAACCACAAAUUUUUUUAAAAAAAGCUUGGAGAAGAAUAAAAAUGUGUUCUAAGUUAGCACUGAUAUACUCUAUUGGAGGAGGCUAUUGGCGCAGGCAGAGCAGUAACUGAGACCAGGACAGGAAGUAGUUACAAUAUGAAUGAUGUGAAUAUGUUUUCAAGCCAAAUAUGUAUCAUCGACAACUGAUUACAAUGGCUGGGAAAUCCAGGACAGAAGAACUAGAAGUUUCUCCAAACUUGGCUUUGAAAUUAAAAAAAAAAAUGUGUUUACAAGGACUAUUUCCUAAUUAUAUUAUUUCUACAAUGAGCCCAAAUGGCAAAGACCAUAAUUUUUCCCUCUGGAUUUGGAGCUGAUAGGCUAUUCAACAGCCGCACACACAAUCAUCAUCUAUAAUAAUUUCUAUCUGCCCAAUAGACAUAAGUUAAUUAUAGAAUCAUAUCCUCUGCAUUUGACAAAUGAGCAUUUGAGGUCCAGGGAAACAAAAGCAACUGGACUGAAAUCUUAUCUGCCUAGAAAACCUACAAGUUGAAAUUAGAACUCAGGACUUCUGACCUCAGGAUCUCAGUCCAGCUAUGACCGAGAAACCAAGGAACUCACUAUCUUGUCCUCUUGGAUGCCAGCUAUAAAUUGAAUCAAGUUGGACACCGGAAUUUUGACCACUUUCCACCUUUCUAUCGUGGUCAGGUUUCUUCAUGAGAAGAGGAGAUUCGGUCACAGGCAUGUACAGAAGAAGACUGUGUGAAGACACAGAAGAAGUUAUCUACAAACCAACGAGAGAGGCUUCAGAAGAAACCAACAUUGUUGACACCCUGAUCUUGGAUUUCUAGACUCAGGAAUUAUGAGAAAAUAAAUUUUUAUUGUUUAAGCCACCCAGUCUGUGGUACUUUCUUAUGGCAUCCCUGGCUAAUGAAUACAGGAGGCAGCUAAAGGAAUUGAGGAUUAUGCCUAGUUUUGUGGCUUGAGAAAUGGGGUAUUUAGAGGUCUCAUUACCAGGACGAGUAAGAUUGAGGAAAGAACAUGUUUGGAAUCUAUAUGGGAAUGUUGGUGGUGGGAAAAACUGAGAGGUAAAUGUAGUAGUUUAUGUGUGGGAUGCCUAUGCACAUGCAAGAAAAGAUAUCAAGGAGGCAAUGGUAUGUGCAAAUCUGGAAAUUUUAUAAAUUCUUAUGCAGAUGACUUAAAUAAAUAAAUUUGAACCCUGUCAUCUAUUCUCAAUCCCUUCUGGAUUUCAACCAAAAGGGCUGUUAUAUGGGGCUAGCAUCAUAUAUCAAUGUCAGUAAGUUAGAUUGUCCAUUACUUUGUAUUGAAUGGAACUAUGUGCUGCAUGAUUUCUGUGUCUCUAAAAGUCAACAGACCUUGGGCAGACACAGAAGUUUAAAUGUCACCCUGAAAAACCACUCUAAAUUAGGAGGCAGUUGCGACAUUCUAAACAAAUUUAGUAGAUUACAUAUCAUGAGAUAUGGCUUUGGGUUCAAACUCUACCCUUUUUAGAUUAGUGUUCUUGGAUCAUAAUCUCUGAGACUUAGAUUUUUCGUUCAUUUUAUAGUGAAUCUCAUUAGGGCUACUUCACUUGACUUAGGGUAUUUUUGGAAUUUUCAGGGUGAGUUUUUUUGUUGCAUGAUUGAGGAGUUCUAGUUAUUAGAAGCUCUGUGAAGUCCUGCAAAAUGAUUUGACACAAAGCCUUCUUGGAUGUGUACUUACAGUUGCACAACUUGAAAAUAUUCUGUACAUUACAAGUGGGGUUAUAGUCACACACACACGCACACAUUUAACACAUUUGUGUAUUAAUUUUACUUCAGGACUGUAAAGUGUUACAAAAUUCUAGCUAUUAAAAGAGGGCAUUGCACCAAGUUAUGUUGUGUUGAGAACCACUGACCUAUAAUAUCUUUUUAUUGCCUUUAUUAUUUUGAAUGGACACAUAAUUAUACAAUUUAUGGGGCACAGUGUGAUAUUUUGAUGCAUGUAUAUCAUGAAUAGUGAUCAAAUCAGGGUAACUAGCAUAUCCAUCACCUCAACCAUUUAUCAUUUCUUUGUACAUGGAUAAAGAAAAUGUGGUGUAUCCAUUUGUCUGUUGACAAACACUUAGGUUUGGCCAUUGUGAAUAGUACUGCAAUAACCAUGGGAGUGCUUUCAUAUUGCUUUCCUUUCAAUAUGAUAUAUAUCUAUAUAUCUAUAUAUCUAUAUCUAUAUAUAUAUACACUCACAUACACACAUAUGGGGGAUAUAGAAAUGGAAGAAAGAAAGAAGAUCACAUUUUUACCUAACGCUUUCUUCUUUUCUAUUGUUACUUUCUUUAUAUUUUUAUCUUUGAAGCUCAGAUUUAUCAUAAAUGUUGUAUACAAUUUUAAAUAUUUUCCUUUUCCUAAUUGUUUGUGGUAGCAAAGUAACAUUCUGCUUUUAAGGUCUUCUUACCAGAUGUGAAAUAUUCCCAAGUAUUCCCAAAUGAAGCAAAACUUUUCUUGAAAACCUGUGCCCUAAAUAGAAUCAAGUAACUAAAAAUUAAACACAGCCCAUAAAAAUUUUUUGCUUCAUGUUAUAAAUGCCAGUACAAAAAAUAAAUAGAAGAUUAAGUUGCUAUAAUCCAAUUUUUAAUAGCCUUUUUUUUGUAUGAUGCAAUGGUUUGAAUGUUUUUCUCUCCAGAUCUCAUGUUGAAAACUAAUCCUCAAUGCAGCAGUAUUGAAAGGUGAGGCCUUUAAGAGGUGAUUGGGUUAUGAGGACUCUGCUUAAAUAAAUUGAAGCAUCAUUUAUGGAUUAAUGAAUUAGUGGAUUAUCACAGGAAUGGGACUGGUGGACCUUUAAGAGGAAUAUAUAUACACACACAUAUAUAUUUGUUCCAUUGAUCUAAGUUGGAAGGGAAGGUUUAGUAAGAAAUACGUAGUAUAAUAACUAACUGGUGGAGCCCUCUGAUGACUGAUGAUUCUGGCAGGUGAUUUUAUCUGCUCUAUAAUGUCAAAAUUUAAAAAUCAUAAUUAUGAAAAUUUUAACUAUAAAAUGUAAUACACUAUAAAAUACAGUUUUAGAUUUAUUCUGGUACCUCGUAAGUUUAUUGGGGUAGACUAUAUAAGACUAUAAAUCUUUAAUCUAUAAGCAUUAGAUUUUGGUCACAGUUUUGGCUAAAUAUUUAAUUUUUAAAAGAUUAAGCUAAAAGGUGUAUUAUUUGGUACUACACUCAUUGCUAUUGCUAUUAUUCUUUUGCUGCUAGAAGUUGAAAAGUUUGUUUCCUUAUUGAGAAUAUAAAUAAAACAAAUUACUUUGUGUUAACUUUCAAUAUAGACCAGGUCUUUAUGCUAUGUUUCUUGGGCAGAGAAGAGGAGGUCUUACCUGGAUUAUGUUGCACAAAACAAACAAAUGAAAAAUAAUGUAAUAGCCAAGCUCCCCCCUUGACCCUGCAAAUAGCUUAUAGAAGUAGCCUGAGAGUAUCAUA